AUUGAACGCUGGCGGCAGGCCUAACACAUGCAAGUCGAGCGGCAGCGCGGGGCAACCUGGCGGCGAGCGGCGAACGGGUGAGUAACGCGUAGGAAUCUACCCAGUAGCGGGGGAUAGCCCGGGGAAACUCGGAUUAAUACCGCAUACGCCCUAAGGGGGAAAGCAGGGGAUCGUAAGACCUUGCACUAUUGGAAGAGCCUGCGUUGGAUUAGCUAGUUGGUAGGGUAAAGGCCUACCAAGGCGACGAUCCAUAGCUGGUCUGAGAGGAUGAUCAGCCACACCGGAACUGAGACACGGUCCGGACUCCUACGGGAGGCAGCAGUGGGGAAUAUUGGACAAUGGGGGGCAACCCUGAUCCAGCCAUGCCGCGUGUGUGAAGAAGGCCUUCGGUUGCAAAGCUCUUUUGUUCAGGGAAGAAACGGUGAGUUCUAAUACAGCUUGCUAAUGACGGUACCUGAAGAAUAAGCACCGGCUAACUACGUGCCAG
This 487-nucleotide ribosomal RNA is filed under the name uncultured bacterium. Its description in RNAcentral is "bacterial SSU rRNA". It matches the Rfam family "Bacterial small subunit ribosomal RNA", at positions 29 to 511 of the family's 1533-position model. The record is from RNAcentral.